UCCUACGGGGGGCAGCAGUGGGGAAUAUUGGACAAUGGGGGAAACCCUGACCCAGCGACGCCGCGUGAGUGAAGAAGUAUUUCGGUAUGUAAAGCUCUAUCAGCAGGGAAGAAAAUGACGGUACCUGACUAAGAAGCCCCGGCUAACUACGUGCCAGCAGCCGCGGUAAUACGUAGGGGGCAAGCGUUAUCCGGAUUUACUGGGUGUAAAGGGAGCGUAGACGGCCAUUCAAGCCAGAUGUGAAAGCCCGGGGCUCAACCCCGGGACUGCAUUUGGAACUGUGUGGCUAGAGUGUGGGGGAGGCG
RNAcentral lists this ribosomal RNA (305 nucleotides) under uncultured bacterium. RNAcentral describes it as "bacterial SSU rRNA". It matches the Rfam family "Bacterial small subunit ribosomal RNA", at positions 337 to 659 of the family's 1533-position model. The record is from RNAcentral.